GCUAAGAAUAUUCCGCAAUGGACGAAAGUCUGACGGAGCGACGCCGCGUGGAUGAAGAAGGCCGAAAGGUUGUAAAGUUCUUUUGUUGGGGAAGAAUAACCAUGGGAGGGAAUGCCCGUGGGAUGACAUGAACCGACGAAUAAGCCCCGGCUAACUACGUGCCAGCAGCCGCGGUAACACGUAGGGGGCGAGCGUUGUUCGGAAUUACUGGGCGUAAAGGGCAUGUAGGCGGUCUUGUAAGCUUGGCGUGAAAGACCACGGCUCAACCGUGGGAUUGCGUUGAGAACUGCGAGGCUUGAGUGACGGAGAGGGAGCUAGAAUUCCUGGUGUAGGGGUGGAAUCUGUAGAGAUCAGGAAGAAUACCAAUGGCGAAGGCAAGCUCCUGGCCGAUGACUGACGCUGAGGUGCGAAAGUGUGGGGAUCAAACAGGAUUAGAAACCCCAGUAGUCC
This 450-nucleotide ribosomal RNA is filed under the name uncultured bacterium. Its description in RNAcentral is "bacterial SSU rRNA". It matches the Rfam family "Bacterial small subunit ribosomal RNA", at positions 354 to 796 of the family's 1533-position model. The record is from RNAcentral.